This 3176-nucleotide long non-coding RNA is filed under the name Aotus nancymaae (Ma's night monkey). RNAcentral describes it as "lncRNA (ENSANAG00000038743.1)". Lineage: Eukaryota; Metazoa; Chordata; Mammalia; Primates; Aotidae. The record is from RNAcentral.
CGUGUGGGGGCCGGGCCUGGAACAAACAACCGAGCCAAUAGGGUGCUGUGGCGGUUGUGGGGGCGGCGGCCGCGGAGCAGGAGAAGGAGCGGACCCCGAGCACCAGGCCCUCUUCAGCCUGGGGUCCUGGGUGAAGUGCUCUACUGCCCUUGCCUCCAGGAAAGUACAUGAUGGUGAUGGGAGUGGUACAGGCCUACAGCCCCGAGCCACACCUGCAGGCUGUGAAGAUGAGACUUUUCUGAUAAUCCCAUCCAUGAAGGAGGCUCUGCGGCCCCCGAAAGACGACAGCUCCCUUUCUGCUUCGGACACUACUCAGACAUUUAGACACUGCUCUAUUCAUUUCCCUCAGCUAGAGAAGGUGAUACCUUCUUCCAUCACUCAGAUGUUGAGACAUUUUGGGAAUUUCUUGUUGAAAUGAAAAACAUCAAGAUUAAGGAUGCCUUUUAGGCUUUGGUUAAACUUCCGCUUCAUAACUUUGGGUGAGACACAGCGAGCCUCCUGGUUUUGAGUUCUUUUGUCUUUUUGUAUGGAAUGACUUGGCUGUGAUUUGAAUAUUGGGUUUCUGCUGUCUGCUUAAUACCCAUGCCUGAUUUUUUGAGAUUGUACAUAUCAAGGGAGUUAGAUUAUGUUCUGAUACACAUCUAGAUGUGUAUAAGAGACAGCUUUUACAGAAAACUGUUAAGUGAACAAUAGUACAGUGGUACCUGAGUGACUGAGGUGUGGGUACUUGCUUUUCCUUGAUAUUCUAGAGUAGAGCUGUGCUGUCUAAUGUGAUUAGGCUAUAUCAGUAGCCUCAUGGAUCUACGGAGUACUUGGAAUGUGCUGGUGUGACGGGCAGGGUGGCCAAACUCAGUAAAUAAAAGUUUAGGAUACCUCCUCCAUCAGUGUGGGCUGUGCACAGUGAGUUCCUUCCAGAACGGAAGGGGGAUAAAAGAGUAACUUUACAGUGGCAAAACCUGGCAGACUGCCCCAGCCAGCCAGCCAAGGUUAACGUAAAGCAAUACAUCACAUUAAUAGCACACCUGGGUAAGACACCUGAGGCCCUGAGGGGCCAGGACUUAGAAGCUUCAAAUUCCACAGCCACUCCUCUUCUCACUGCCCUCAGGUGGCUCCUGCAGAGACUAGUGACAGUGCCCUAAGGGGCCUAUAGGAGCCUCAUGGGACCACAGGAGGUCUUGAGAGGCAUGUGAGGACUUGGCGUUUUUGGUAGGUAUGACAGCUGGGGUUGGUGCUUGAGACCUCUGGUCAGAGCUGGUAAUGCUGUGUAAUGAAUUGCCACAAACUUAGGAACUUAAAAAAAAACAAAUGUAUUGGCUGGGUGCAGUGGCUCACACCUGUAAUUGCAGCACUUUGGGAGGCCAAGGCAGGUGGAUCACCUGAGAUAGGGAGUUCGAGACCAGCCUGACCAACAUGGAGAAAUCCCAUCUCUACUAAAUAUACAAAAAAUUAGCUGGGUGUGGUGGUGCAUGCCUGUAAUCCCAGCUACUUAGGAGGCUGAGCAAGGAGAAUCACUUGAACCUAGGAGGCAGAGGUUGCAGUAAGCCAAUAUCGCACCACUGCCCUUCAGCCUGGGUGACAAAGCAAGACUCCAUCUCAAAAAAAGAAGAGCCUUGUUAAAUUCCUCCCAUGUGUUGAUGCACUUGCUGUAAUAUUUAUUCCUGCUAUUAUGAGUCACCUGCUCCCAGGGCUGCCCUGCCCAUUGUGAGACCUCUUCUGUCUUCCUAAGUGUGAGAUAGUGUUUUCCCUGCCUUUACCACAUUCUCUGUCCCUCUGGCUGGUGUCAUGGCCCUUUAAGGAAAGUGAGCACAUUGGCUCUGGGAUCUUGGUCUCUGCAGUUUGGCAGCAGGCCCUGACUUGUCAUGAGAAAUAAAUGUCAGUGGGAAAAAUCUUUUUUAUUUUGAGAUGGAGUCUCUCUCUGUUGCCAGGCUGGAGUGCAGUGAUAGAAUUCCAGCUCACUGCAACCUCCGCCUUCCAGGUUUAAGCCAUUCUCCUUCCUCAGCUUCCCGAGCAGCUGGGACUACAGGCACGUGCCAUCACGUCAAGCUAAUUUUUGUAUUUUUUAGUAGAGAUGGGGUUUCACCAUGUUGGCCAGGAUGGUAUUGAUCUUUUGACCUUGUGAUCUGCCCACCUUGGCCUCUCAAAGUGCUGGGAUUACAGGCGUGAGCCACCACCUCUGACCGGGAAAAGUCUUUUUAAAGAUGCAUGCAUAUCUCAACACAAACGUCAUUGCACCUGUUGAUGUAUGCCUUAAGAAGCCUGAGGUAGGGAAGUUUGGUAGGUGGAAGUUACUUUCCAUCUCCUUUCUCAUAGCAUGGCACUUGGAAGAGAAGAUUUUGGCUUUAGCGUUUUGCUGUGAGCAUCCUGUUUAUUCCAUGGUCAUGGACCUUUAGUACCAAAUUUACUUGAAAACCUUGUGAAAUUAUUUAUGCAGAAAGAAAGAAUGAGGAAUCUUGGGUAAUGGGAAAGCAACAGGCCAGUUUUGCAAAGACUUCAACAUGGGUGGUUUAUAACUAGUUGGAAAAACAUGUCUCAUCUCAGCUGAUGUAAUCCUUUUUACAGUGCUGGGGGCCUUAAGUUUUCUCAGAAGGUUGAAGGAGCAUAAUCAGCUCCCAAGGUGGUCAGCACAGUGACAAAAAAUGACAAAGGGCUCUGCCUGCCUCUGAGGGUCCUUCAGUCAUGGCCAGCUCUGUCUAGGGGAGCAAAGACCCUGUCUGUCCUCUGCCUUCCUGGCUAUGGCAGGGUCAUGGGGUUGGGAGAGCAGAGCCUGGGCACUUGUUCUGGCUGGAAACUUAGCCUUUGAAACAAGGUUCCAGAGGCAGUUUGUGACCCAUACAGGAGAAGGAGAUGGGCAAUGUGGAUGCUGUCAGAGCGAAGGGUCCCAAACUGUCUGAUUAUAGGCACAGUGUUGGGUCCUUAUGUACUUUUACAAAGUUAUUUUCAGAGACAAGGAAGUCAGUGGACCCACUUUCUCUUCCUCAUUGGAGUUCUCUGGAAAAGAGUGUUCCCAGGGACAGAUGAUCUGAUGGUGUCAUGGACUCACCAGUGUCCUUAAGAGGGAAAGCUCUGUCAGCAGAGGGAACCUCAGCCCCGGCUGAUCACACAGGCUACACUAGGCUGGGAUCUGCAGACACCAACAGCCUGCCCUAAGGCUCCCAAGUCAGACAGGCCAGGUGGGU